GAUGAACGCUGGCGGCGUGCUUAACACAUGCAAGUCGAACGAUGAAGCCCAGCUUGCUGGGUGGAUUAGUGGCGAACGGGUGAGUAACACGUGAGUAACCUGCCCUUAACUCUGGGAUAAGCCUGGGAAACUGGGUCUAAUACCGGAUAGGAGCGUCCACCGCAUGGUGGGUGUUGGAAAGAUUUAUCGGUUUUGGAUGGACUCGCGGCCUAUCAGCGUUUUUGGGAGGUAGUGGCACACCAGGGCGACGACGGGUAGCCGGCCUGAGAGGGUGACCGGCCACACUGGGACUGAGACACGGCCCAGACUCCUACGGGAGGCAGCAGUGGCGAAUAUUGCACAAUGGGCGCAAGCCUGAUGCAGCGACGCCGCGUGAGGGAUGACGGCCUUCGCGUUGUAAACCUCUUUCAGUAGGGACGAAGCGAAAGUGACGGUACCUGCAGAAGAAGCACCGGCUAACUACGUG
This 466-nucleotide ribosomal RNA is filed under the name uncultured bacterium. RNAcentral's name for it is "partial 16S ribosomal RNA". It matches the Rfam family "Bacterial small subunit ribosomal RNA", at positions 28 to 507 of the family's 1533-position model. The record is from RNAcentral.